GACGAACGCUGGCGGCGUGCUUCAUACAUGCAAGUCGAACGAGAAGCUGACUUCGGUCAGUGGAAAGUGGCGGACGGGUGGGUAAUAUGUAGGAAAUCUGCCUUUAACAGGGGGACAACAGAGGGAAACUUCUGCUAAUACCCCAUAUGAGCGUAGCUGAAAUGCUGUUCUUGAAAACUCCGGUGCCUAAAGAUGAGCCUGCAUCUGAUUAGCUAGUUGGUAAUGUAAUGGACUACCAAGGCGACGAUCAGUCACCGGUUUGGGAGGAUGAUCAGCCACAACUGGACCGAGACACCGCCCAUACCUCCUACGGGGGGAGCAGGAGGGGAUUUUGCGCAAUGGGCGAAAGGCUUACGCAGCAACGCCCGGGGAACGAAUAAGGGCCUCGGGGUGGUAAGGCCUUUUAGCGCGGAAGAAAAUUGACGGUACCGACAGAAUAAGCACCGGCUAACUCCGUG
This 458-nucleotide ribosomal RNA is filed under the name uncultured bacterium. RNAcentral describes it as "partial 16S ribosomal RNA". It matches the Rfam family "Bacterial small subunit ribosomal RNA", at positions 28 to 507 of the family's 1533-position model. The record is from RNAcentral.